This is a long non-coding RNA of Passer domesticus (house sparrow), 2378 nucleotides long. RefSeq lists it as uncharacterized. NCBI's taxonomy places the organism in Eukaryota, Metazoa, Chordata, Aves, Passeriformes, Passeridae. The record is from RefSeq and is a predicted model, not a curated record. The transcript is spliced from 6 exons.
CCCAUGCUGAGUGUCCCCCUCCUUGCAGUGCUGAGAGUGGCAUUUUGAAUGGAACACUUUGGGAAUUUAAACAGGGGCGAGGCUGCAGGUGUCACCUCCCAGCCUCUGCACGUCGGGACCGCAGCCAAUGCAACGAAAAUCUCACACCUGACCUGUCCUGCAAUAAAUCCCAGCGUUUUCUGCUCAGGCAUGCUUGCUUUUCCUUAAUGAAGCAAGGUCUGAGUGUGAUCCAAAGGUGAGGCAAAGACAGGAGGAAUUUAGUGAGCAGUGCAACACAUUUGAAGACCCUUUAGUUCAGGGUAUUCGAUAAGUAAAAUAUUUUAACAGCCUUGGGUCUGGGCAAUACAUGACUUAAUGCCAACACAACACUUAAUAGGAGUAAAAAAGAUGCUUUAAGCAAGUAAUAAGCAAAAAUAUCCUAGUAAAGCUAUAAACCACAAAGCAGUUAAUAAACAACACAGUUACAAAUGUUUCUUUUUAAUUAAACCAAGAAAAGAAACCUUGGGUCCACAAGUCUUGCCCUAAUCCAUAGAUCCAUCUUUUUCCCCUAUUUUCCUGUAGUAUUAAUUAUUUGGGAGGAAAUGUUUAAAUAUUCAGUUCUAACUUGCAUGUUUAUUGUAUCAGAACAACAAAUUGCUAGAAAUGCACCAGACAGAUGCCAGUCAUUGCUCCUGCAAUACUGCAAAGAGAGUGAAGUGUUGUAAAUCUCCAUUAUUUCACCCCUUUGAAGCAGGUGGAAAACACUGGAUGACCAGGCUUGUCAUUUUUGACUGAGUUUAUCCCCAUUUAGGAAAUAGGUACAGCAGAGGGGCUGGAUGUUGCAUUAGAGGCUGUCACCAGGGCUGAGAUUCAGAUAAGCUCCUCUGUUAGGCAGCCUCAAUUCCACAGUUUCUCUUCUUUCACCUUGACGAUGCCCCCAAACCAAACCAACUUUUAAUUCAGCUUGUCAUGUACUUUACAGUAAAAGUUGCUUUCUGGUAAACACAGAACAAGUUUUGCCACAUGCCUUACAGUACCAAGCUUACACGUCCAAGAACUUCCAAAAACGUGUCAAUACUGUCAGUGAGGAUGUGGGUGUUAGGAGUGAAGGAAAAAUGGGGGUUUUAGUUGGCAAAGCGGAAUUCUUUUGUGGAGGACUGACAAGGCGUGGUGCUGAGCCACAAAGGUGAUGAGUGGGCUCUCACUAGCUCUGCCUAAAUGAAACCCACAUUUUCCUUCCCAGCCUUGCAUUGGAAUAUCCUGAAAAGAGCAAAUGGAAGAGGAAUCAAGUUCAAAACACCAGGACAAACAGCACAGGUGCAAGAUCUAAAAUAUUCAGAACCAGAAUUAGAAGAUGAGACCAUCAUAAAGAAAAUGUGCUAAGGGACUAAACAUAAUGGAAGGCUCUGUUUCCCUGUUACCGUCUUCCUUCAAGGGCUCCAGCAGGAGAUCAAUGACUAAGACUUGUCCUCUGCUGUUAUUUCUUUGUCUCAGCUCCUUAGAAUGCUCUUUUCUUUCCUCACUUUAAUCUGGUCUGCUUGGCUCUCCUGAGGGGUAUUAAUUCAAUAAUUUUCUAGGCUAGACUCUGGCGUUGGAGACUUUCUCCUCCACCAGCCUGAUCUGUCCCUGCUUUCAAAACAAACACGUGAGCAGCUGGCACAUUUAUCUCAGAAACAAAGGGAUCUUAUGGCAAGCAAUUAAGCUAAGGAUCCUUCUCUAAAGCACCAGUUCUUUAAAUGAAUCGCCACAAAACAAUCCUUCAAAUUCCUGUGUGAGCCCUGCAAAGGAAAUGUGUGUGAGCAGUGGAGGGGCAGCACCAAUCUCUGCUCCCCGUGAACCGUGCCAGGGCUUGAGGGAAUGGCAUGAAGUGGUGUAGGAGAGGUUUGGGUUGGAUUUUAGGAGAAGAUUCUUCCUCCAGAGGGUGGUUGGGCACUGAAGAGGCUGCCCAGAGAAUGGGCACAGCCCCAAGGCUGCCAGAGCUCCAGGAGUUUGGACAACUUUCCAACUCCAGGAGUUUCUCAGGCAGAAGGUGAGAUUGUUGGGGUGUCUGUGCCACCAGGGGUUGGACUCUGAUCCUUGUGGAUCCCUUUCAAAUCAGGAUAUUCUGUGAUUCUGUAUUUCAAGUGCAGAGUGCAUAGGAUAACAAGAGGAUCUGUGAUCAUUAGGAAAUAAAACUAUAUUAAAAAACAAUUUAAAAUAUCCAUUCAAGUCCUCCAAGAUUGUAUUGAUGUUGGCAGUCAUUUAUUUCAGUGCCUAAGGAUUAUGAAACAACCUUAAAGUUUGUAAUUCUGCUGCAGCUGCCAUUUGAGAUUUGCAGAACAUUCUGGAAACACGAUUUAGCCACAUUUCAUACUUCAUCAGCCCCAAGGGUUUCGCUGAGGUGGAUUUCCCUUGUUUUA